RNAcentral lists this ribosomal RNA (811 nucleotides) under Arthrobacter sp. H60. Its description in RNAcentral is "bacterial SSU rRNA". It matches the Rfam family "Bacterial small subunit ribosomal RNA", at positions 56 to 866 of the family's 1533-position model. Lineage: Bacteria; Bacillati; Actinomycetota; Actinomycetes; Micrococcales; Micrococcaceae. The record is from RNAcentral.
UGCAGUCGAACGAUGAACCUCACUUGUGGGGGGAUUAGUGGCGAACGGGUGAGUAACACGUGAGUAACCUGCCCUUGACUCUGGGAUAAGCCUGGGAAACCGGGUCUAAUACUGGAUACGACCUUCUGGCGCAUGCCAUGUUGGUGGAAAGCUUUUGUGGUUUUGGAUGGACUCGCGGCCUAUCAGCUUGUUGGUGGGGUAAUGGCCUACCAAGGCGACGACGGGUAGCCGGCCUGAGAGGGUGACCGGCCACACUGGGACUGAGACACGGCCCAGACUCCUACGGGAGGCAGCAGUGGGGAAUAUUGCACAAUGGGCGCAAGCCUGAUGCAGCGACGCCGCGUGAGGGAUGAAGGCCUUCGGGUUGUAAACCUCUUUCAGUAGGGAAGAAGUUGGCCUUUUUUGGGGUUGGUGACGGUACCUGCAGAAGAAGCGCCGGCUAACUACGUGCCAGCAGCCGCGGUAAUACGUAGGGCGCAAGCGUUAUCCGGAAUUAUUGGGCGUAAAGAGCUCGUAGGCGGUUUGUCGCGUCUGCCGUGAAAGUCCGGGGCUUAACUCCGGAUCUGCGGUGGGUACGGGCAGACUAGAGUGCAGUAGGGGAGACUGGAAUUCCUGGUGUAGCGGUGAAAUGCGCAGAUAUCAGGAGGAACACCGAUGGCGAAGGCAGGUCUCUGGGCUGUAACUGACGCUGAGGAGCGAAAGCAUGGGGAGCGAACAGGAUUAGAUACCCUGGUAGUCCAUGCCGUAAACGUUGGGCACUAGGUGUGGGGGACAUUCCACGUUUUCCGCGCCGUAGCUAACGCAUUAAGUG